UACGAAGGGGGCGAGCGUUUGUUCGGAUUUACUGGGCGUAAAGGGCGCGCAGGCGGUUCUGUUUGUCGAGUGUGAAAGCCCCGGGCUCAACCUGGGAACUGCGCUCGAAACGGCGGAACUAGAGUUCGGGAGAGGAGAGUGAAAUUCCCAGUGUAGAGGUGAAAUUCGUAGAUAUUGGGAAGAACACCGGUGGCGAAGGCGGCUCUCUGGACCGAUACUGACGCUGAGGCGCGAAAGCGUGGGGAGCAAACAGG
This 254-nucleotide ribosomal RNA is filed under the name uncultured bacterium. Its description in RNAcentral is "partial 16S ribosomal RNA". It matches the Rfam family "Bacterial small subunit ribosomal RNA", at positions 524 to 776 of the family's 1533-position model. The record is from RNAcentral.